CAGGCAGUGGCUCGAAUGGUUGUUGUCCUUGAUGAUCUUUAUGGCCUUCCUGUGACAUCGGGUGGUGUAGGUGUCCUGGAGGGCAGGUAGUUUGCCCCCGGUGAUGCGUUGUGCAGACCUCACUACCCUCUGGAGAGCCUUACUAUUGUGGGCGGAGCAGUUGCCAUACCAUGCGGUGAUACAGCCCGACAGGAUGCUCUCGAUUGUGCAUCUGUAGAAGUUUGUGAGUGCUUUUGGUGACAAGCCGAAUUUCUUCAGACUCCUGAGGUUGAAGAGGCGCUGCUGCGCCUUCUUCACAACGCUGUCUGUGUGGGUGGUCCAAUUCAGUUUGUCCGUGAUGUGACUGCCGAGGAACUUAAAACUUACUACCCUCUCCACUACUGUCCCGUCGAUGUGGAUAGGGGGGUGCUCCCUCUGCUGUUUCCUGAAAUCCACGAUCAUCAGCAAACAGACGUUUGACUUCAGAUUCUAGUAGGUUGAAGCCGGGUGCUGCAGACCAUUCUAGUACCCUCGCCAAUUCAUUGAUAUAUAUGUUGAAGAGGAUGGGGCUUAAGCUAAGUCCCUGUCUCACCCCACAGCCCUGUGGAAAGAAAGGUGGGUGUUUUUUUGCCAAUUUUAACCUCACACAUGUUGCUUGUGAACAUGGAUUUUAUAAUGUUGUAUAUUUUUCCCCCAACACCACUUUCCAUCAAUAUAGCAGACCCUCAUGCCAAAUUGUGUCAAACUUUUUGGAAAUCAACAAACCAUGAAAAGACUUUGCCUUUGUUUUGGCCUGUUUGUUUGCCAAUUAGGGUGUGCAACGUCAAUAAGUGGUCUGCCGUACGGUCAUUUGGUAAAAAUCCAAUUUGACAUUUGCUGAGUGCAUUGUUUUCACUGAAGAAAUGUAUGGGUCUGCUGUUAAUGAUAACGCAGAGGAUUUUCCCAAGGUUGCUGUUGACGCAAAUCCCACGGUAGAUAUUGGGGUUAAAUUUGUCUCCACUUUUAUGGAUUGGGGUGAUCAGUCUUUGGUUCAAGUAUUGGGAAAUAUGCUAGAGUUGAGGAUGGUGUUAAAGAGUUUAAGUAUAGCCAAUUGGAAUUUGUGGUCUGUAUAUUUGAUUAUUUCAUUUAGGAUGCCAUCAACCCCACAGGCCUUUUUGGGUUGGAGGGUUUGUAUUUUGUCCUGAAGUUCAUUAAAUGUAAUUGGAGAAUCCAGUGGGUCCUGGUGUCUUUAAUAGUUGAUUCUAAGUUUUGUAAUUGAUCAGGUAUAUGUUUUAAUAACUUAAUAACUCUGUGUUGUUGUUUGUUUAGAGUUAAGGGAUUUCCUCCUCUUCCGGAGAGGCGAAAAGGAUCAGAGGACCAAUAUGCGGCGUGGACCUGAGCCCUAGGACCAUGCCUCAGGACUACCUGGCAUGAUGACUCCUUGCUGUCCCCAGUCCACAUGGCCGUGCUGCUGCUCCAGUUUCAACUGUUCUGCCUGCGGCUAUGGAACCCUGACCUGUUCACCGGACGUGCUACCUGUCCCAGAGCUGCUGUUUUCAACUCUCUAGAGACAGCAGGAGCGGUAGAGAUACUCUUAAUGACCGGCUAUGAAAAGCCAACUGACAUUUACUCCUGAGGUGCUGACUUGCUGCACCCUCGACAACUACUGUGAUUAUUAUUAUUUGACCAUGCUGGUCAAUUAUGAACAUUUGAACAUCUUGGCCAUGUUCUGUUAUAAUCUCCACUCCACAGAAGAGGACUGGCUACCCUUCAGAGCCUGGUUCCUCUCAGGUUUCUUCCUAGGUUUUGGCCUUUCUAAGGAGUUUUUCCUAGCCACCGUGCUUCUACACCUGCAUUGCAUGCUGUUUGGGGAUUUAGGCUGGGUUUCUGUACAGCACUUUGAGAUAUCAGCUGACGUAAGAAAGGCUUUGUAAAUAAAUAUGAUUUGAUUUAGGUAGCACACAUGAAGACAUUUUUCUCUGUUGAGAUAGUUUCCUUAUGCAUUUCUAGCCAGAUGUAAAAUGUUCCUGUUUGGACUAAUUUAAUAAAGUGGGGUAGCUAUAUACCUAAUUAGCAUACCCCCUGAGACGCUUCCCUCUUUCACACCUGGUAGUUUGGUGGAUGGAACUACCAGCUCUCUGUAACCUUGAGGGCAACCAGUGGGUCCGUCUCCUUUAUACCAUGUUUCUUGUAUAAUGACAAUGUCUGUAUUUCCAAUUACUUUGAUGAAGUCUGGGAUCCUGCUCUUUAGGCCAAUGGCAGAUGACCUCCAACCCUGUUGUUAUCCAGUAUGAGAUAGUAAAAGCUUUGUGUUCCAUAUUGUCUAGUGUUCUUCUCUCUCUCACACACACGCACACACACUUGGUAUUGCUCUCACUCUCGCACACUCAGUAGUUCUCUCUGUCUCUCUUUCAUGCACACGUAGUUCCGCAACGGUGCCGUCUUCUUUUCUCUGGAAGGAGUCUGGAGACUAAAAAUAAAUGAUG
This is a long non-coding RNA of Oncorhynchus tshawytscha (Chinook salmon), 2444 nucleotides long. The record is from Ensembl. NCBI's taxonomy places the organism in Eukaryota, Metazoa, Chordata, Actinopteri, Salmoniformes, Salmonidae.